Molecule: ribosomal RNA, 387 nt
Filed under: Telonemia sp.
Lineage: Eukaryota; Telonemia
Description: partial small subunit ribosomal RNA
Rfam family: Eukaryotic small subunit ribosomal RNA
Source: RNAcentral
AUUCCAGCUCCAAUAGCGUAUAUUAAAGUUGUUGCAGUUAAAAAGCUCGUAGUUGGAGUUCGGGGAAAGCUCAGUCGGUCGGCCUAAUGGGUCAGAACUGGCUGACUCUCUCUUGUUUGCGGAUCCCUCCCGGAGUUAACUCUUCAGGUUGUGGAGUCCGCAUCGUUUACCUUGAAAAAAUUAGAGUGUUCAAAGCAGGCGUUUGCUUGAAUAUAUUAGCAUGGAAUAAUGGAAUAGGACCCUGGUUCUAUUUUGUUGGUUUUGAGAGCCAGAGUAAUGAUUAAUAGGGAUAGUUGGGGGCAUUCAUAUUUCAUUGUCAGAGGUGAAAUUCUUGGAUUUAUGAAAGAUGAACUUCUGCGAAAGCAUUUGCCAAGGAUGUUUUCAUCG